GGCGUGCUUAACACAUGCAAGUCGAACGGAAAGGCCCUGCUUUUGUGGGGUGCUCGAGUGGCGAACGGGUGAGUAACACGUGAGUAACCUGCCCUUGACUUUGGGAUAACUUCAGGAAACUGGGGCUAAUACCGGAUAGGAGCUCCUGCUGCAUGGUGGGGGUUGGAAAGUUUCGGCGGUUGGGGAUGGACUCGCGGCUUAUCAGCUUGUUGGUGGGGUAGUGGCUUACCAAGGCUUUGACGGGUAGCCGGCCUGAGAGGGUGACCGGCCACAUUGGGACUGAGAUACGGCCCAGACUCCUACGGGAGGCAGCAGUGGGGAAUAUUGCACAAUGGGCGGAAGCCUGAUGCAGCAACGCCGCGUGCGGGAUGACGGCCUUCGGGUUGUAAACCGCUUUCGCCUGUGACGAAGCGUGAGUGACGGUAAUGGGUAAAGAAGCACCGGCUAACUACGUGCCAGCAGCCGCGGUGAUACGUAGGGUGCGAGCGUUGUCCGGAUUUAUUGGGCGUAAAGGGCUCGUAGGUGGUUGAUCGCGUCGGAAGUGUAAUCUUGGGGCUUAACCCUGAGCGUGCUUUCGAUACGGGUUGACUUGAGGAAGGUAGGGGAGAAUGGAAUUCCUGGUGGAGCGGUGGAAUGCGCAGAUAUCAGGAGGAACACCAGUGGCGAAGGCGGUUCUCUGGGCCUUUCCUGACGCUGAGGAGCGAAAGCGUGGGGAGCGAACAGGCUUAGAUACCCUGGUAGUCCACGCUGUAAACGGUGGGUACUAGGUGUGGGGUCCAUUCCACGGGUUCCGUGCCGUAGCUAACGCUUUAAGUACCCCGCCUGGGGAGUACGGCCGCAAGGCUAAAACUCAAAGGAAUUGACGGGGCCCCGCACAAGCGGCGGAGCAUGCGGAUUAAUUCGAUGCAACGCGUAGAACCUUACCUGGGUUUGACAUGGAUCGGGAGUGCUCAGAGAUGGGUGUGCCUCUUUUGGGGUCGGUUCACAGGUGGUGCAUGGCUGUCGUCAGCUCGUGUCGUGAGAUGUUGGGUUAAGUCCCGCAACGAGCGCAACCCUUGUUCACUGUUGCCAGCACGUUAUGGUGGGGACUCAGUGGAGACCGCCGGGGUCAACUCGGAGGAAGGUGGGGAUGACGUCAAGUCAUCAUGCCCCUUAUGUCCAGGGCUUCACGCAUGCUACAAUGGCUGGUACAGAGAGUGGCGAGCCUGUGAGGGUGAGCGAAUCUCGGAAAGCCGGUCUCAGUUCGGAUUGGGGUCUGCAACUCGACCUCAUGAAGUCGGAGUCGCUAGUAAUCGCAGAUCAGCAACGCUGCGGUGAAUACGUUCCCGGGGCUUGUACACACCGCCCGUCAAGUCAUGAAAGUUGGUAACACCCGAAGCCGGUGGCCUAACCGUUGUGGGGGAGCCGUCGAAGGUGGGACUGGUGAUUAGGACUAAGUCGU
This 1441-nucleotide ribosomal RNA is filed under the name uncultured organism. Its description in RNAcentral is "16S ribosomal RNA". It matches the Rfam family "Bacterial small subunit ribosomal RNA". The record is from RNAcentral.